GGACGCGCCGCUCUUGGCUGGGGGAGCCGGCGCACGCGGCGGAGGCGGGGGGAAGCUUGAGCGAGUCUGGAUUGUUCUCAGGAUUUCCCAUUGCCAACCCCUGGGAUGCUGCGAGGAAGAGGAAGAUGCCCUGGGACACUGAGGCAGAGCAGGAGCUGAGCAUGGAGAGCAGGGAGGACAAAUGCCCGCGGCAGAACCUGGUGGAAGAGGCCGUUUUGAGCGGCUCCA
Molecule: long non-coding RNA, 228 nt
Organism: Melospiza melodia melodia
Lineage: Eukaryota; Metazoa; Chordata; Aves; Passeriformes; Passerellidae
Exons: 3
Source: RefSeq, a predicted model, not a curated record